AAGUAGCAAAGAAAGAACCAGCCACCCUAGUACUGUACAGUCGUUCAAAACGGCACACGAAGCAAAACCCAAGAAAUGGGUGUUUAAUUUGAAAGAACAACUGCGGAAAGAUUCUGAGACUCUGCCCCAGCCUUCUCUAUGAGGUCACUGCCUGUGACAUCAACACCCUGUCCAAGGUGUACAAGAGUCAUUUUGCAAGCAGCCACAACAAAUCUUCAUCUUCCUCUGAAGCUGUUUUCACCUGUCCUCCCUCUUCCAAGUUUCUGAUACCUCAGGUUACAGCUAUAAGAUUUAAUACUGAUCAGCAGACCACAGAGAUUGUAACUUAAAAAAUGGAGAUGAGGACCAAGCCAGCUUGCCCUGAUCCUGAGGCCUAUAAGGAACAUGUGGGGAACUCACAUUAAUUUUAUAAGUAUUAGUAAACUUUUAUACCACUCCAACAGCAUGCAGUUCACAACCCAUCAGAACUUAAGUAGUACAGUCAUACCAACAAGAAAAUGCAACAAAUGCAAUAAAAACCAUACAAAGCCUGUGUAGAAAGGAGAUCACGGUCCCGCACCCCAGCCCUGACAACCAACCUACUGGCUGCCAUUACUAUAUCCCCCUCCUUGAGCAUCCCUGACCAUUUUAUACAGAAUGGCUGAACAGAGUUUCCUUUACAUAUACCCUUGGCAGGGCUGAGGAUGAGCUGUAGGAAGAACUAUUUCUGUUUCUGAAAGGCAUUUAUUUCUAGUGCUCAGGAAGGUCGGCAACACCUUGGAAAUUAGACCAGGAAACGAUCAGAAUUUCAUACUCCAUGCUGCUAUAACAGCCUUUAACCCCUCCGGGGAUCCUGGUGAGAGACCACCUCGGAUCAAGCCACCAAUCCCCCUGCACGACUAGAUUUAACCAGCUUUCCUCACUCAGGUGGAGUCAACGCCCAGCCGAGCCGCUGGGAUUGGGGCGGGGGGGGAAGACUGCUUCUCCCCCCCACUCACUCAAGGGAUCGCCCGCCUGGACAGAGAACCAGCCCCACAGAGAACCGCCCACCACCCCCAAACCCGGGGUGGGUGAGGGGCGCUCAGUUCCCCUCGCGGUCCGCCCAGCCAGCCCCCUCCUCCUCCUCCUCG
Molecule: non-coding RNA, 1109 nt
Organism: Pogona vitticeps (central bearded dragon)
Lineage: Eukaryota; Metazoa; Chordata; Lepidosauria; Squamata; Agamidae
Source: RefSeq, a predicted model, not a curated record